RNAcentral lists this ribosomal RNA (393 nucleotides) under uncultured bacterium. RNAcentral describes it as "partial 16S ribosomal RNA". It matches the Rfam family "Bacterial small subunit ribosomal RNA", at positions 523 to 918 of the family's 1533-position model. The record is from RNAcentral.
AUACGGAGGAUGCAAGCGUUAUCCGGAUUUAUUGGGCUUAAAGGGUGCGUAGGAGGGACUGUAAGUCAGGGGUGAAAUACUGCAGCUUAACCGGAGCAUUGCCUUUGAAACUGCCGUUCUUGAGUACAGUUGAGGUAGGCGGAAUGUGGUGUGUAGCGGUGAAAUGCAUAGAUAUACCACAGAACGCCGAUUGCGAAGGCAGCUUACUAAGCUGUUACUGACGCUGAGGCACGAAAGCGUGGGGAUCAAACAGGAUUAGAUACCCUGGUAGUCCACGCUGUAAACGAUGAUUACUGGUUGUUAGCGAUAUAUAGCUAGUGACUGAGCGAAAGCAUUAAGUCAUCCGCCUGGGGAGUACGUCGGCAACGAUGAAACUCAAAGGAAUUGACGGGG